UGUCUUUUUGUAAAUAAUAUAAAGUCUAAUCUGCCCACUGAUUAUAAAUUGAAGGGCUGCAGUAUAUUGACUGUACAAAGGUAGCAUAAUCAUUAGUCAUUUAAUUGAUGACUCGUAUGAAAGAUUGGAUGAAAUAUAAACUGUCUCUUAAUUAUUAAUAUAAUUUAAUUUUUAAAUUAAAAAGUUUAAAUAAAUUAAAAAGACGAGAAGACCCUAUAGAGUUUUAUAGUUAAUUUAAUUAAGAUUAUUUUUUAUUUAAAAUUGAAAUUAAAUUAAAUAUUUUGUUGGGGUGACAGAAAAAUAAAUAUAACUUUUUUUAAUUUAUUAACAUUUAUAAGUGAAUAAAUGAUCCAAUAUUAUUGAUUAUAAGAAAAAAUUACCUUAGGGAUAACAGCGUAAUUUUUUUUUUUAGUUCAUAUAAGAAAAAGAGUUUGCGACCUCGAUGUUGGAUUAAGAUAAAAUUUAAAUGCAGAAG
Molecule: ribosomal RNA, 475 nt
Filed under: Aporophyla lutulenta
Lineage: Eukaryota; Metazoa; Arthropoda; Insecta; Lepidoptera; Noctuidae
Description: partial 16S large subunit ribosomal RNA
Source: RNAcentral